Long non-coding RNA from Alexandromys fortis (reed vole), 3314 nucleotides. RefSeq lists it as uncharacterized. The transcript has 2 exons. The record is from RefSeq and is a predicted model, not a curated record. Lineage: Eukaryota; Metazoa; Chordata; Mammalia; Rodentia; Cricetidae.
AAAACCCGCUAAGCAGGAAGCGUUUUGUUGGCCCGGAGUCAGCUGAGUGGAGAAGCUUCCCCGGAAUGCGAGCAGGAUUGAGCUGAAUGACCAAGGUCGCCCCUGGUCCUCUGGAGAGGGAAAUGAGACCACAGCGAGAAGUCGGUUCGCGAGGUAUUUGAGUUUUGGAAACUCCCGAGAUAAAGGGAAAUUGUGUCACGUGAGAAUUAUAAAAGUUAGCCUAAGUAUUUUCCCACUCAUAGCUAGGUUUCUGAAGCUGAUCCGACGCGCAUGACACAGGGUUUUAAUCUCACCGAGGAGGCAGAGCUCUGUGAGUUCAAGGUCAGCCACCACUGUAACGAGACCCCGUCUAUAUUUAGAAAACAUUAAAUACCCAAGUUUGGUCCUGAGCUGGCAUCAUGGGGGGGGGGGGUGGAAAUGAGUCAGGGGUGAACCCUGGUAGAGGUCUUUGGGUUAUUGAGUAGACAGAUGAUGGGAGCAUGUUCUUGUAAGAGAAUUGUGGGUGAGCCCUUUUGCUCUACCAACUGCUCCUGCCAUGAUGCGAGGUGCUGGCCUUCUCCAGAGGCCUGUGAGUAGUGAACUGGAACCUUCAAGGCAAUGAACCAAAUAAACCUUUCCUUAGUAACUCUAUCCAGCAUUUGCCACAGUGGCGGGAAACGGACACACACUAUUAUGCUUAUUUGAAAACAUUAACUCAUUCAAUAAACAUUGACAGUUUAACAUACCCGUUAUCUGAACGAGCCCUAGUUCCUAUUUGUAGGACUUGGGCGUUCCCUUUCUUGUCUACACUCUGACUACCCCACCCACACUCCACGUCAUAGGGAUGCUGGGAGAGCAGUCGACCGAAAGGUUCCUAUUCAGUACGUGGGCACUUCUAUUUCCUCGCAGCAAGCAUGUGCAUUUAUAGGGGACGGGCAAAGCAGCAUACCGGGAGAGACUUGGGUGGCUCUAGUUAUGCUAGGGUUUACUGGAGAAUUCAGUGUCAACGAGGUAGACGGUAGAGGGCCCACUUGUGUGUUAAAGUCAACAAAAGUGAAAAAAAUACUAAAAACAACAGUUUGCCAAAACAACACAAGUUUUAAUUCUGUGGGGUAACCAUCUCAGUUUUACAAGUUCUGGGUUGUGCUUGGAAUCUGAGAGCUUUGGUUUAGAUUUAGCAUUUUACUGCAGAUAGUUACUCGAAACUCCUUAGACUAACUUGGUUUCAAGACAUUCCUUUAAAAACACUUGAGGCAGACAUUUCACCAAGAAGUCGGCCCCACGUUGAAACAACAAAUUCACACAUCAGUCAGUGUUUGUAUGUCUCUAUGUAUUUCCCCAAAUUCCUCGUCUCCCCUUCUCAGGGAUUGGGGCUGUCGGCUGUAAUCGCCAGGGUGAUGGGGACAUCUAGAGGUUACUGUGGGAACUACAGGAAGCUAUGACCGUUGGGCUUUACUCAAAAGACCCAGGGCUCUGACUUUGCCUAAGAGGCGUGUCCUAACAGCAGAAUCUGGAGCGUGGGACCGCAGACCUCCUGAGUCAGCAUAUUUCUAAGAGAAAAUGGGUAUUCACCACUUUAUUGAAUUUAUCUGGAUGGGCCCUCACUUUUCUGAAGAUACCUUCCUACCCCACUGAAGGUAGCCAGAACCAUCAGCCUUGAAAACAACCCCUGAGAACGACUCAAGCCUUUUACCUCCAAAUAAAUUUGGUAAACAAACUGAAAUCAUGAGUGUGUCCUAGUUCACCUGUUAAAGGUUGGACUUCCGUGGCCCAGAGCACUUGCGGAAUCCCUGUGGUCUGUGACUGUUCUUUCAAGAGAAGGUACACUCCAGUAACAGGAUGACCUUAGGAAACCCAUGACCCAGGCAAUGGACCCUACAUCUUUUGAGUUCACAGCUCCCCAAUUCUGGAGUCAUGGAUUUUUAUUCUGUCUUUGUUGAGAUAGGGUCUCACUACUGUGGUGCUGGCAGGCCUGGAACACGCUACACAGAUCACUCCUGCCUCUUACAGGCUAGCAGCUAUACACAGGUCAAAUCCAGACCAGUGCCUUCUUCAGUGGAGGUGCUGUGCCCAUCCUCCCCACCUCCAGCACUGUUCCCUGGUCCUAUUUCCAGAGCAAAUUUACACUACUCCAGAGGUACCUGUAGCCUUACAAGCUAUUCCUCUGCUGACACUAGUACAACGUUUCUACACCUCUGGGUCACAACCCCGUUACGGGGGAGGGGUGUCAAAUGACCCUUUCAUGGGGGUUACCUAAGACCAUCAUAAAGCAGAUAUUUAUAUUACAAUUCAUAACAGUGGCAAAAUCAGUUAUGAAGUAGCAACGGAAACAAUCUUAUGAUGGGGUCACCACAUGAGGAACGGUAUCAAAGGUCACAGCAUCAGAAGACUGGGAACCCCUGCUCUAGAGGCUUAAGGGAAAGGCCAAUCACUGCCAUCAGGGUGGCACGCCACAGGUCUUAGGACUGGGGUUUAUACUGCCCACCCCUGCCUGCCUGCUUUAGAAAAUGAAAGCUGCUCGGCCGCAGCUUCUAAUACCUGUCUGGUGGGCAGCAAAGGGGCCCCUCAGAUAGGGUCUGCAAAAAGAUCUAUGUGAUUGUUUAAAUGAGAACUAUCCCUGAGUCUUGGGCCUUUUAAUAUUUGGUCCCUAGUUGAUGGUAUUGUUUGAGAGGUUUGGGAGCUAUGACCUUGUUGGAGGAAGGGGUUAAGAGUUAAAGACCUGCCAGGCAUGGUAGCACACGCUUUUAAUCCCAGCACUUGGGAGGUAGAGACAGGCAGAUCUCUGAGUUCCAGGCCAGCCUGGUCUACAGAGUGAGUUCCAGGACCCAGGGCUACAGAGAAACCCUGUCUUAAAAACUCAUGUCAUUUUGAGUUUGUGAAAGACUUUGAGACACCUUAGCACUACUGCACCCCCCAUCCUGGAAACCAGGCCUCUAGCAUUAGGAGGCACCUUAGCACUACUGCACCCCCCUUCCUGGGAACCAGGUCCCUAGUAACCAGCCACGCGUGCAUGGGAGCUUUGAGUACUUUCCAUCCCCAUUGUAGUCUUUCUCCAAUAGACCCGGACCCUGGAACUGGGGUGAGACGACCUGCAGGUGUUCCUCCUUGUAACCGCCAUAACAUUGAUCAAGUAGAGUUAGCUGACCAUUGUAUGAACUAGUCAAAACAGUUGACAAAUGAUUUUUGGACUUUCCCUUUGAUUCUGUACUACCCCCUCCCUGAAUUUGUGGUUUUCUCCUUUAAAAGAGCUUGUAAUGGACAAAGCAGGAGUCCUUCUCCUCUCGAGGCUGAGGGACCUCUGCCGUGGCAGAAUAAAAAUUCCUCUUGCUAUUGCA